AACCUUCCUCUCAGUUGGGGACAACACUUCUAACGAGGUGCUAAUACCGAAUACGAUCUUAUUUUCACAUGGAAAUUUGAUGAAAGGCGGCCUCUGCUUGCAAGCUGUCACUGAGAGAUGGCCUCGCGUCCCAUUAGCUAGUUGGUGAGGUAACUGCUCACCAAGGCGUCGAUGGGUAGCCGGCCUUAGCGGGUGACCGGCCACACUGGGACUGAGAUACGGCCCAG
This 227-nucleotide ribosomal RNA is filed under the name uncultured bacterium. Its description in RNAcentral is "partial 16S ribosomal RNA". It matches the Rfam family "Bacterial small subunit ribosomal RNA", at positions 123 to 334 of the family's 1533-position model. The record is from RNAcentral.